RNAcentral lists this ribosomal RNA (116 nucleotides) under uncultured bacterium. RNAcentral describes it as "partial 16S ribosomal RNA". It matches the Rfam family "Bacterial small subunit ribosomal RNA", at positions 1369 to 1482 of the family's 1533-position model. The record is from RNAcentral.
CGUUCCCGGGCCUUGUACACACCGCCCGUCACACCACGAAAGUCGGCAACGCCCGAAGCCAGGGUGGCCCAACCGUAAGGAGGGAGCUGUCGAAGGCGGGGUCGGUGAUUGGGGUG